UGGGGGAUAUUGCACAAUGGGCGAAAGCCUGAUGCAGCGACGCCGCGUGGGGGAUGAAGGCCUUCGGGUUGUAAACUUCUUUUGCUCUGAACAAGGCGCACCAUGGGGUGUGUUGAGUGUAGGGGUUGAUUAGCGCCGGCUAACUACGUCCCAGCAGCCGCGGUAAUACGUAGGGCGCGAGCGUUGUCCGGAAUUAUUGGGCGUAAAGGGCUUGUAGGUGGCUGGUUGCGUCUGUCGUGAAAGCUCAUGGCUUAACUGUGGGUUUGCGGUGGGUACGGGCUGGCUUGAGUGCAGUAGGGGAGGCUGGAAUUCCUGGUGUAGCGGUGGAAUGCGCAGAUAUCAGGAGGAAUACCGGUGGCGAAGGCGGGUCUCUGGGCUGUUACUGACACUGAGGAGCGAAAGCAUGGGGAGCGAACAGG
This 419-nucleotide ribosomal RNA is filed under the name bacterium. RNAcentral's name for it is "partial 16S ribosomal RNA". It matches the Rfam family "Bacterial small subunit ribosomal RNA", at positions 355 to 776 of the family's 1533-position model. The record is from RNAcentral.